GGGCAGAUGAGUAUCUGAUCCUAAAUGGGGAGAAAAUAUUGAAAUGCACAAAUAUGUGGAAUUUCAAGAAGUUAUCUACAUAGAAGAACUUUGACAAAUUGAAGAAGUGAGACUAGCAAUUUAUUAACGGGAGGAAGAAGAUGAGAAUGUGUAGGUUCAGUUAGCACUGUCCAGUACAUGCACUUAAGGUCGGAAAGAACAAAGUAAACAUCUGGCUGUGGUGAACUCAUGCUCAGGAGCAAUGACUUGAAAUUUACUCACACUGUUGAAUAUCAGUGGAACUUUGUGCUACACUCUACAGCUGAGUUGCAAUACUCUUGGAACAAAUGCUGAACUUGUAAGAAAAUGGAAGAGAGAAACCAG
This 363-nucleotide long non-coding RNA is filed under the name Zonotrichia albicollis (white-throated sparrow). RNAcentral describes it as "lncRNA (ENSZALG00000006647.1)". The record is from RNAcentral. Lineage: Eukaryota; Metazoa; Chordata; Aves; Passeriformes; Passerellidae.